UGUUUGCAACAUAAUACCAGCAUCAAUGCCAUCAAAAGCAUUGAUGAAGCUGUGUUUACUUAAAAAGUGCCCCGUUGAUAAUCCUUUUACAAGUUUUUGUGAUGUUCCAUUCCUAUUUGACUACUCAUAUUUAUGCUUUAUUUUCUCCCUUGAAUCACAGGUAGCUGGAAGGUAAAAACUUUCCUUCAAAGACAGCAGGAAGUUCUGGCUAAAGGAGUUCUAUACAAUAUGUGAACUGAUUACCAGCAUCUCAGUGCUUUGAAAUUUUUCCUGUUCAUUUGGAGAUGGAAAAUUAUAGGACUUCUCAGCCUCCAUGAAUGCAUGAACAAGUUAUGACUAUUAAUCAUGAUAUGUCAACUUCAUUGGAUUAAGAAAUGCCUCACAGGGAUACACAGUUAAAAGUUUACCUUGAGUCUCAGAAGAGACUUUGGCUUGUACUUUUGAGUGAUGCUGGGACUGCUGAGACACAGAUUACUCUGUUUCAGUUGUAGAUACCAUGGAAGCACCUUUGUCCUGCCACACCCUUUCAUUGUGAUGUGUCUGCCUUAGAGCCAGCCAACCAUGGGCUGAAUCCCGUGAACCUGUGAGCCAAAUUAAACAUCUCCUCCUUUAUGUGUGGUUGUCAGGUAGUUUGUCUUGCAACAGAAAAGCUGACUUAUGCACCAAUCAUUCAUAAUAAUACAAACACACAUGCUAUUGGUUCUUCUUUUCUGGAGAACUCUGACUAAUGUAAUAAGAUUAAAUGUGAGUAUAUUGAAUUCAAACAGACUAGAAUUACAUUUAUGUUUUCUCUGUUCUGAUCAUGGCAAGCCUAUUCACUUUAUCUAAAGAAUGAAAAAAUACUGCUGAUAUGAUCUCAUAGACUUUUCAGCAA
This is a non-coding RNA of Heterocephalus glaber (naked mole-rat), 874 nucleotides long. The record is from RefSeq and is a predicted model, not a curated record. NCBI's taxonomy places the organism in Eukaryota, Metazoa, Chordata, Mammalia, Rodentia, Bathyergidae.